GCCAGACUGUACUGCGUCACAG
RNAcentral lists this microRNA (22 nucleotides) under Brugia malayi. Its description in RNAcentral is "bma-miR-5863". RNAcentral also lists the same sequence under 1 other name. The record is from miRBase by way of RNAcentral. Lineage: Eukaryota; Metazoa; Nematoda; Chromadorea; Rhabditida; Onchocercidae.